GGGAGCACAGGGAUAGUUUGAGAUGAGCUUUGAAGGUUGUAGGAGGCAGCAGAAUAAGGUCCGUCUGUUUAACAAACUUACUUAACAUACUUUUUGACCAACAUUUUUUUGUAGGUACCCUUCUGUAUUUCAAAUAUUGGACCACAAAUGGGCAAUACAGCUUGUGUUUCACUCGAUUCACACGCUGCAGACUUUUUUUUUGUCCUGUAGCUUCCUUGAUUUGCAGCACCCCGUGAGUCAAACCAGGCGUCAAAACCUGUUGUCAGAGGUCUGUUGUAAGUUUUACGACCGAUGCAACGCGGCAGAGCCUGACACCUCUGCCAGGUGAGGGGAAGCUGAGGCGUAAGAAGUAGGAAAUUCUCAUGGCAGUCUAAUCGGAGAAGAUGAGCUAGUCUUCCCAACAGCCAUUUGGGCUGGAGCUAGUUGGUGGUUAGCACAUCAAGGGAGUCCCCACAGGACAGUGUAGGAUAAGCUUGUUGAACCCCAUGUGGCCUCAAGGUGCUCAGCACAGAAAACGCAGCCGAAAUCAGUUCAGGUAAGGCCCCAAGGAGAGGACACGGCCCGUCCCGACCUCCACUUUUUAUUUCACCUCCUUCUCCUCCCUCCUUUCCUUCUUUUUCUGCGUCCUCUACUCUCCACCCUCUCCUCCAUCCUCACUGCACACCCCGUCCUGCUCUCACACUCGCUCGGCCUCUUGCAGCUGAAGCAACACGCCUUGCCGUGGCUGGUCAAACGGAACCAAGUCAGGUGUUUCUGUGAGGUUUGGUCCCCUUCAACCAGCUACUGCGCCGUGAAUUCAGUCAGCGUGGAAUCAAAGACACAGUGGCGUUGUGGUGCAUGCUGCAUACUCUUGAGGCGGUAGUCUACUGACAAUGGUCGAUGGUUUUCUUCAGUCACGUGAUGUUGUUUGUUUCCUGUAUGGCAAAUAAAUUAAUAAAUUGAAGUUUGAUUUAAUGAUUGUAAAAUACA
This is a long non-coding RNA of Pungitius pungitius (ninespine stickleback), 969 nucleotides long. RefSeq lists it as uncharacterized. The transcript is spliced from 2 exons. NCBI's taxonomy places the organism in Eukaryota, Metazoa, Chordata, Actinopteri, Perciformes, Gasterosteidae. The record is from RefSeq and is a predicted model, not a curated record.